Molecule: long non-coding RNA, 1019 nt
Organism: Nycticebus coucang (slow loris)
Lineage: Eukaryota; Metazoa; Chordata; Mammalia; Primates; Lorisidae
Exons: 3
Source: RefSeq, a predicted model, not a curated record
UGACUACAUUUCACAAGAGGAUUGGUCAACACUGCUAACUUGUUCUGAGCAGUCAGCUCUGCUCUCUGAAUUGUGUGAGAUUGUCAGGGACGUGCUGGGGAGGACAACGUCAAGUCCACCAGGAGAACACUGCUGGCAUUUGCUAACGGCAUCCUCCCCACCUUUGCUGAUUUUUUUGUGACAUAAAGACAUCUCCCAAAGGCACUGGCUGCUCAGACAUCACAUUCCAGCACCGACUCAGUCAGGACGCAGCUGCUCCUAGAAAACUGGCCCAACCACUGUGUGGAGAAGAUAAGAAACAAUGAAUCUCAAUACUGUGUUUCAGAUCAUCAGUGCAGAGCCAUGAAAAGAACCAAGGCUGCUGGCUCAGAAUGCCUUGCUGGGUCUGUCAGACCACGUUUCCUGAGAUGACAACACUUUUGCUUUUAAGAGAUCAAUUUUGUAAUAAUGACAAUGUUCUCUUGUCUAUUCCCAUAGGUCUUGUAUAUUUCAAAUGCUUCUCUGCCUAAUUAUAGCAACUGAACAAUGUAAUCAACUAUCUCUUUUUCCCCAGAUGAAUAAAUAUUUUUUUGCACAGUUAGAAGGUUUAAAUCUAGCUGAAGUCAGUAUUCGAAAGAUCAGUAUUCUUUCUUAUGGGCUCUAAAAUCCCUAUUUGCUUUUUCCCCCUUCUUUAUAUUUUGUGUAACAUAUUGGUUUUAAAAUAAUUAUUCCUCACUGGUUAUUGUGAUUUGGACAUAUAAAUAAAAAGCAUGCAAAAGUAAAUAUUAGAAUUUGGCUACAGAUUUCAUAUUGGAGGAAUUUGUAUGUGAAAACUAGAAGGUAACACUGUGUUUUGUAUGGUACUUACGAAGGUCUACUACCUCUGUCUAAGCAGCAGGGAUGUCAAUGUUGAAGAACAGAAAAAACAGGGAGGGAAGAUUGAAUAGGAUUGGCAGCGACACAUUUAUGGUCUCAACUUCGAUGCCGUAAAUGUAAUUUUCUAUACUCCAUAAAAAUUUUUAAAGUAUAUAUUUAAGGUG